This 400-nucleotide unclassified non-coding RNA is filed under the name fungal sp. RNAcentral describes it as "partial internal transcribed spacer region". The stretch from base 1 to 46 matches the Rfam family "Eukaryotic small subunit ribosomal RNA", at positions 1786 to 1831 of the family's 1831-position model. The record is from RNAcentral. Lineage: Eukaryota; Fungi.
AGGUCGUAACAAGCUUUCCGUAGGUGAACCUGCGGAAGGAUCAUUAACACGUAUCCAAACGUUAAAACCUCCCCCGAACAUUCAUCCUGCUCUUGUAAGCGAAGCUUGCAAUCCCUGGUAUAUAAUAUGUAGUUUUGAUUCAGAGACAGCAGUCAGUGUCUGAAAGUGUCAUUGAUUGUGUAGGGAUAACGCUUCACGAUGCUUGUAGACCGCCUCGCGGACAAGAGCUAGGCCAAGGGUCCCCAUACCCCCCUACCCUUCACGAUGCUUGUAGACCACCUCGCGGGCAAGAGCUAGGCCAAAGGCCCCAUGCCCCCUUACCACAGUAUAAUGUGAAGCUCAAUGUAAUACAUUGGGUAAAAAAACCGAAGAACUGUGAGCAAUGGAUAUCUUGCUUUUC